UACGGAGGAGGCAAGCGUUAUCCGGAAUUAUUGGGCGUAAAGCGUUCGUAGGUAGCCAUUCAAGUCUGCUGUCAAAGACCCGGGCUUAACUCGGGAAAGGCAGUGGAAACUGAAUAGCUAGAGUGCGGUAGGGGUAGAGGGAAUUCCCGGUGUAGCGGUGAAAUGCGUAGAUAUCGGGAAGAACACCGGCGGCGAAAGCGCUCUACUGGGCCGCAACUGACACUGAGGGACGAAAGCUAGGGGAGCGAAUGGG
RNAcentral lists this ribosomal RNA (253 nucleotides) under uncultured bacterium. RNAcentral's name for it is "partial 16S ribosomal RNA". It matches the Rfam family "Bacterial small subunit ribosomal RNA", at positions 524 to 776 of the family's 1533-position model. The record is from RNAcentral.